GGUUAAGCGACUAAGCGUACACGGUGGAUGCCCUGGCAGUCAGAGGCGAUGAAGGACGUGCUAAUCUGCGAUAAGCGUCGGUAAGGUGAUAUGAACCGUUAUAACCGGCGAUUUCCGAAUGGGGAAACCCAGUGUGUUUCGACACACUAUCAUUAACUGAAUCCAUAGGUUAAUGAGGCGAACCGGGGGAACUGAAACAUCUAAGUACCCCGAGGAAAAGAAAUCAACCGAGAUUCCCCCAGUAGCGGCGAGCGAACGGGGAGCAGCCCAGAGCCUGAAUCAGUGUGUGUGUUAGUGGAAGCGUCUGGAAAGGCGCGCGAUACAGGGUGACAGCCCCGUACACAAAAAUGCACAUAUUGUGAGCUCGAUGAGUAGGGCGGGACACGUGGUAUCCUGUCUGAAUAUGGGGGGACCAUCCUCCAAGGCUAAAUACUCCUGACUGACCGAUAGUGAACCAGUACCGUGAGGGAAAGGCGAAAAGAACCCCGGCGAGGGGAGUGAAAAAGAACCUGAAACCGUGUACGUACAAGCAGUGGGAGCACGCUUAGGCGUGUGACUGCGUACCUUUUGUAUAAUGGGUCAGCGACUUAUAUUCUGUAGCAAGGUUAACCGAAUAGGGGAGCCGAAGGGAAACCGAGUCUUAACUGGGCGUUAAGUUGCAGGGUAUAGACCCGAAACCCGGUGAUCUAGCCAUGGGCAGGUUGAAGGUUGGGUAACACUAACUGGAGGACCGAACCGACUAAUGUUGAAAAAUUAGCGGAUGACUUGUGGCUGGGGGUGAAAGGCCAAUCAAACCGGGAGAUAGCUGGUUCUCCCCGAAAGCUAUUUAGGUAGCGCCUCGUGAAUUCAUCUCCGGGGGUAGAGCACUGUUUCGGCAAGGGGGUCAUCCCGACUUACCAACCCGAUGCAAACUGCGAAUACCGGAGAAUGUUAUCACGGGAGACACACGGCGGGUGCUAACGUCCGUCGUGAAGAGGGAAACAACCCAGACCGCCAGCUAAGGUCCCAAAGUCAUGGUUAAGUGGGAAACGAUGUGGGAAGGCCCAGACAGCCAGGAUGUUGGCUUAGAAGCAGCCAUCAUUUAAAGAAAGCGUAAUAGCUCACUGGUCGAGUCGGCCUGCGCGGAAGAUGUAACGGGGCUAAACCAUGCACCGAAGCUGCGGCAGCGACGCUUAUGCGUUGUUGGGUAGGGGAGCGUUCUGUAAGCCUGUGAAGGUGUGCUGUGAGGCAUGCUGGAGGUAUCAGAAGUGCGAAUGCUGACAUAAGUAACGAUAAAGCGGGUGAAAAGCCCGCUCGCCGGAAGACCAAGGGUUCCUGUCCAACGUUAAUCGGGGCAGGGUGAGUCGACCCCUAAGGCGAGGCCGAAAGGCGUAGUCGAUGGGAAACAGGUUAAUAUUCCUGUACUUGGUGUUACUGCGAAGGGGGGACGGAGAAGGCUAUGUUGGCCGGGCGACGGUUGUCCCGGUUUAAGCGUGUAGGCUGGUUUUCCAGGCAAAUCCGGAAAAUCAAGGCUGAGGCGUGAUGACGAGGCACUACGGUGCUGAAGCAACAAAUGCCCUGCUUCCAGGAAAAGCCUCUAAGCAUCAGGUAACAUCAAAUCGUACCCCAAACCGACACAGGUGGUCAGGUAGAGAAUACCAAGGCGCUUGAGAGAACUCGGGUGAAGGAACUAGGCAAAAUGGUGCCGUAACUUCGGGAGAAGGCACGCUGAUAUGUAGGUGAAGUCCCUCGCGGAUGGAGCUGAAAUCAGUCGAAGAUACCAGCUGGCUGCAACUGUUUAUUAAAAACACAGCACUGUGCAAACACGAAAGUGGACGUAUACGGUGUGACGCCUGCCCGGUGCCGGAAGGUUAAUUGAUGGGGUUAGCCGCAAGGCGAAGCUCUUGAUCGAAGCCCCGGUAAACGGCGGCCGUAACUAUAACGGUCCUAAGGUAGCGAAAUUCCUUGUCGGGUAAGUUCCGACCUGCACGAAUGGCGUAAUGAUGGCCAGGCUGUCUCCACCCGAGACUCAGUGAAAUUGAACUCGCUGUGAAGAUGCAGUGUACCCGCGGCAAGACGGAAAGACCCCGUGAACCUUUACUAUAGCUUGACACUGAACAUUGAGCCUUGAUGUGUAGGAUAGGUGGGAGGCUUUGAAGUGUGGACGCCAGUCUGCAUGGAGCCGACCUUGAAAUACCACCCUUUAAUGUUUGAUGUUCUAACGUUGACCCGUAAUCCGGGUUGCGGACAGUGUCUGGUGGGUAGUUUGACUGGGGCGGUCUCCUCCUAAAGAGUAACGGAGGAGCACGAAGGUUGGCUAAUCCUGGUCGGACAUCAGGAGGUUAGUGCAAUGGCAUAAGCCAGCUUGACUGCGAGCGUGACGGCGCGAGCAGGUGCGAAAGCAGGUCAUAGUGAUCCGGUGGUUCUGAAUGGAAGGGCCAUCGCUCAACGGAUAAAAGGUACUCCGGGGAUAACAGGCUGAUACCGCCCAAGAGUUCAUAUCGACGGCGGUGUUUGGCACCUCGAUGUCGGCUCAUCACAUCCUGGGGCUGAAGUAGGUCCCAAGGGUAUGGCUGUUCGCCAUUUAAAGUGGUACGCGAGCUGGGUUUAGAACGUCGUGAGACAGUUCGGUCCCUAUCUGCCGUGGGCGCUGGAGAACUGAGGGGGGCUGCUCCUAGUACGAGAGGACCGGAGUGGACGCAUCACUGGUGUUCGGGUUGUCAUGCCAAUGGCACUGCCCGGUAGCUAAAUGCGGAAGAGAUAAGUGCUGAAAGCAUCUAAGCACGAAACUUGCCCCGAGAUGAGUUCUCCCUGACUCCUUGAGAGUCCUGAAGGAACGUUGAAGACGACGACGUUGAUAGGCCGGGUGUGUAAGCGCAGCGAUGCGUUGAGCUAACCGGUACUAAUGAACCGUGAGGCUUAACCUU
This 2906-nucleotide ribosomal RNA is filed under the name Escherichia coli. RNAcentral's name for it is "23S ribosomal RNA". It matches the Rfam family "Bacterial large subunit ribosomal RNA". Lineage: Bacteria; Pseudomonadati; Pseudomonadota; Gammaproteobacteria; Enterobacterales; Enterobacteriaceae. The record is from RNAcentral.